GGGGGAUAUUGCACAAUGGGCGAAAGCCUGAUGCAGCAACGCCGCGUGAGGGAAGAAGGUUUUCGGAUCGUAAACCUCUGUCCUCGGUGAAGAUAAUGACGGUAGCCGAGGAGGAAGCUCCGGCUAACUACGUGCCAGCAGCCGCGGUAAUACGUAGAGAGCAAGCGUUGUCCGGAAUUACUGGGUGUAAAGGGUGCGUAGGCGGCAUUUCAAGUCAGGCGUGAAAUCUAUGGGCUCAACCCAUAAACUGCGCUUGAAACUGGAAUACUUGAGUGAAGUAGAGGCAGGCGGAAUUCCUAGUGUAGCGGUGAAAUGCGUAGAGAUCGGGAGGAACACCAGUGGCGAAGGCGGCCUGCUGGGCUUUAACUGACGCUGAGGCACGAAAGCGUGGGUAGCAAAC
This 400-nucleotide ribosomal RNA is filed under the name uncultured bacterium. Its description in RNAcentral is "bacterial SSU rRNA". It matches the Rfam family "Bacterial small subunit ribosomal RNA", at positions 356 to 773 of the family's 1533-position model. The record is from RNAcentral.